Molecule: non-coding RNA, 651 nt
Organism: Xyrichtys novacula (pearly razorfish)
Lineage: Eukaryota; Metazoa; Chordata; Actinopteri; Labriformes; Labridae
Source: the annotation of a GenBank genome assembly
GUUUAGUAUCAAAUUAUUUAUCAUGAAACCAAGCAUUCAAUGAUAUUAAUCAUAGUGAGUGAGUAUCAGAUCUGACUCUUUUACCAGCCAAAAGAAUAAGUUAGAUCAAAUAAUCAGAGACCCGAUGACCCCCUCCUCUUUCUCCUCAGACACUCCCAGUGUGAGAAGAUAAAACCAGUGAAGUGGGGUUGCUCACUAUCUUCACUCUCUUGUUCACUCUUCUGCUGACGCUCUUGUCCCCGGCUCUUAUGCCCCUUCUCUUCUGCCCACACCCUUCUGUGGUGCGCUUCUUUAUUUUCUCUUAGAACUUUUUCUUAGUCUACUAAGUUUUACGCCACGUGUUGAUUCACGUUGAUUUUUCUUUAACAUGUCUUAGUUCAAGUUUUGAAACUUCAACUUUUUGUGCGCAUAGCAAUCCAAGAUUAAGCCUUUGAUUGAUUUUUCUUUAAUUUCGCGAAGCCAUUUUUGAAAGUUUUCUCUGCUCGAGUCUCGUUUUUCUGAGUUAUCUGCGUGAUUUCAAAAGUCACCUCUGAACGCAACCCAGCAGGCCCAGGUCAUCCUCUGUGCCAGAGUUUUUGAGUGAGACUAAAGAAGUACCCAAAGGAGCAUCCACAGGAUCCACAGGCGCUGGCUUUGCUUCGGGCCCGAGUG